UCAAGCAGAGAGCAAUAUUGUUACAUGCUGCACAACCAUAUCUUGAUCUUGGAGUUCUUCCUUUAUUCCCAUCUUCUCUCUUUCUUUUAUACUGACACCAGACACAAGUUUGAGAAGAUGAUAGGGAAAUUCACUGAUGAUUCAGGUUUGGAUUUGAUCAAGUAGAGGGUAGAGAAUUUGAGAAUUCAAGAAGUUGAAGGUAGAGUUGCUGAUGGAAUUGAACAUGAGAUAGAAUAGUGUCAGUAGUGCCAGUAGUGCCAGUAGUGCCAGUAGUAUGCUGUGUAGCCAGUCAAUGAAGAAGAUAAGCAUUGACAAUAGCAUGAUCAAUAAUCCAGUACAGAUGUAAUAGGAUAAACGGAAGCUUCUAUAUUAGGAAAUAGCU
RNAcentral lists this small RNA (382 nucleotides) under Histoplasma capsulatum var. duboisii H88. RNAcentral describes it as "Histoplasma capsulatum H88 hypothetical RNA". Lineage: Eukaryota; Fungi; Ascomycota; Eurotiomycetes; Onygenales; Ajellomycetaceae. The record is from RNAcentral.